This 64-nucleotide transfer RNA is filed under the name Dipodomys ordii (Ord's kangaroo rat). It matches the Rfam family "tRNA". Rfam says of the family: Transfer RNA (tRNA) molecules are approximately 80 nucleotides in length. Their secondary structure includes four short double-helical elements and three loops (D, anti-codon, and T loops). Lineage: Eukaryota; Metazoa; Chordata; Mammalia; Rodentia; Heteromyidae. The record is from Rfam by way of RNAcentral.
GGGAAGGUGGCUCAGUGGUAGAGCGCUUGCCUUACAUGCAUGAGGGUUCGAUUCCUCAGUACCA